Desulfovibrionaceae bacterium CG1_02_65_16 is the source of this 97-nucleotide non-coding RNA. NCBI's taxonomy places the organism in Bacteria, Pseudomonadati, Thermodesulfobacteriota, Desulfovibrionia, Desulfovibrionales, Desulfovibrionaceae. The record is from Rfam.
CCGGGGAAGCCGGACGGCGAGUUCGCCGUGAACCCCGCCAGGCCCGAAAGGGAGCAACGGUAGCGGUCCAAACCCGGGUGUCCGGUUUCCCUUAAAG